Molecule: long non-coding RNA, 751 nt
Organism: Cervus elaphus (red deer)
Lineage: Eukaryota; Metazoa; Chordata; Mammalia; Artiodactyla; Cervidae
Exons: 3
Source: RefSeq, a predicted model, not a curated record
CUCACAUCUUACAGGGUGUGCAAAUUGAAAUUUCGAAACUCUCCACAGAGUAGAGGUGGCAGUGCCAUAACUCGACACAGGAGAAGUGUGCCAGCCAGAUAGCUUUGCCAGCCAGCAUGCUGCCAAAGACUUCACAAAAUGUCUCUCUCAUUGGAAAGAAAAGCGUUUGCCUGUCUCUCUGCACAUGUUCAAUGCACCAUUUCUGAAAGGAUACAAGUUUUGGAGGUUGGAAAUCCAACAUCAAAGUGCCAGCAUUUUCAAGUUCUGGUCAAACUCCCAAGAGUUUGAGGUCAAAUUUUGAUGGAGCACCCAGAUGUCCUCAGCUGUCAUGGAGAAUACUUAACAUAUUUGCUUGCAUGUUUCCCCCAUUAUAUUGGCAGAUAUUUAGUUAUUAACAAAGAAGAAAGAGGUGGGUUAAGGAGUUAACCUAGCAAUCACUGGAGUCUGAGGCCAAAACCACCCUUGACAUGAUCCAAAGCUUUCAGCUUUAUUGUAUUCUUCCAGAAAGAAGACAUUGUCUCACUUGCGACUAGUAAAAUAAUAAAAAAUAAGGAUAAGAAGAAGAACUAAUGCCUAUUGGGCACCUGAUACCCAACUACACAAAUGUAUGUGCACAUGCAUGCACACACAUAAACCAUACUCCGCCUCUUCUCUCUACCAUAGUUGUCAUCAUCCCUUUGUUAAAUAGGGAAAAGGAGUCCAGAAUGGCGGUGGCUAAAAGACCUGGAAGGGAAAAGCCCGUGAAAAUAGA